GGUUGUGGCUUAGUGGCAGAGCACUUGCCUCACACAUGUGAGGUGUUGGGUUCGAUCCUCAUCACCG
RNAcentral lists this transfer RNA (67 nucleotides) under Marmota monax (woodchuck). RNAcentral describes it as "tRNA.Val". The record is from RNAcentral. Lineage: Eukaryota; Metazoa; Chordata; Mammalia; Rodentia; Sciuridae.